RNAcentral lists this long non-coding RNA (3840 nucleotides) under Sus scrofa (pig). RNAcentral describes it as "lncRNA (ENSSSCG00055027125.1, ENSSSCG00105020017.1)". Lineage: Eukaryota; Metazoa; Chordata; Mammalia; Artiodactyla; Suidae. The record is from RNAcentral.
AAAUUCUUUGCUCACUUUUAAUGACAUUCAACAAACUAUUGUGCUAAUGCUACAAGAAAGACAAUGAUGAGUGCGAUCCAGUCCCUAUGUUCAAGCUGGUUACAGUUAAACACAAGGGCUGAGGCAGGGAAAAUAUAAUUUUUACCAGAUUGUGAUUUAGAGAAGGAGGUGGAGAGAGAGGAUGGGAAGGAAGAGGAGAAGGAAAAAGAAAGAGAAUGAUCAUGAAAAGAAUACACAACUAUGAUUUGGUUAACCAGAGAAACAAGAGACUCACCUAUUGUUCCAGCAUUUACUAAAAGUUUAUAAUCCAGGCACUAUGCUAAUUAAUAAGAAAAUACUCUUAAGAAGUACAUGUACAAGGAGAUAAACAUACAUGUAGAUCAUGAAAUACACAUCAAAAAGGAAGAAUUACAAAAGAAUGCUCUGAUGGCACAAAGGAGAAAAGAAUUCACUCUGAUGCAUUAGAAAGGAACAGUUUACCAUGUCCUUAAAAAAAGUAUUUCCAUGGGACUUCCUGCUGUGGCUCAUCAGGUUAAGAACCCAACUAGUAUCUAUGAGGAUGCAGGUUUGAUACCUGGCCUCGCCUGGUGGGUUAAGGAUCUAGUAUUGAUGUAGCUAUGGCAUCUGGCAGCUGCAGCUCCGAUGCAACUCCUAGGCUGGGAACCUCCAAAUGCCUCAUGUGUGGCCCUAAAAGGAAAAAAAAAAAAGUAUUUCAAUGGAUAUCAAGCCUGCGAAGAAUUGUUCCUUCUAUUGGAAGAUCAUGAAAAAUUCCCUGACACGAGAUAGUUUAUCUGGUGUGACUGGAAAAUAAAAAUUCUUCAAGAAGUUGGCAAAUAGGAAAUGUAAAAGGAAAGUAGUGGAAAAUUAAGCUAGAAAAAUGGGGCUGUGAUAACACUGUGAAAGAAACUUCAUCCCAUAGGAAGUGGUUUGGAACCAAUUCUAUAAGCACAUAGAUAUUUUAAAACGGUAGUAUGGCCACCAAUUGUAACCAGGUAUGAGAGGAGUCACGAGUCAUUUGUUAAUUGUAAUGAUUAUAUCACUCAUUUUUGUAAAUUAUAUACUUUUAAAAGGCCAUCAAGAUUUUCCCUAUUUUCCAACAUUCUUUCUACAGUGUGAGGGUUGUAUGCAUAAUUACGGUUGGUGAGGUGUGAAAUCUCAAUCCUUUAAAAAUCACAGGAAGGAGUCAGAAAGAGUGAAUUAUAAAACAUGUGUAUUAAUUAGGGCAGGAAAAUUUUAUAUGUAUAUAUAGAAAGAAAGAAAGAGGAGAAUCAGUGAUACAAUCAAUGGGAAUUUCAUAAUCAUAUGAAAAAUUCUGAAUGCAUUAGGAAAGGAUGAAUAAAUGGAAUCAAUACAAGAAAAGUUAACACUUAUGAAAAUAAAGGUAAAAUGUCAAUAUCUGUACAUAAGUUCUAGAAAAAUAUAAGGGGAAAUGGUUUGCAAAGUCAUCUGAAGACAUAUGACCCAUAAUUUCACAGAAAUAUCACACAUGGACGCAAAUAAACAAACAUGAACUCAGAUAGAUAGAUUCCCAAAGUAUACCCAAGAGGUGAUAAAUAAAUCACUAUGGACAUAUUACAGUAAAACUUACUAACAUAAAAAACAAAGCAAGCAUUCUGAAUGUUCCUAAGGAGACAUGGCAGAUCAUCUAACCAGGAAAUGCAUCACAUUUAGACUCUUUAGGAGGCAGUAGGGGACAGGGCUUGUUCUGCAGGCUGUAGACAGAAUGCUUUGAAUCCAGAGUCCAGCAAACACUAACUGUAGCUCAAACAUUAAAUAAAAUAUCUAACUUCUCCAUAGCUCAGUUUCCUCAUUUAUAUAUUAUAGAUCAUAAUAAUUUCAAGAUCGUUGGAAGUACUAAAUACAUUAGAAUACAUGAAACCUUUAAAAAUAUAGACAGGCACAGUAGGAGGCAUGGCACAGCUAUAAAUGAUUAUGGUUCUCAGAUUUCUUGGUCACAAUAUUUGAUGGAGCAAUACCAGAGAAUAACAUUUUUAAUGUGUUUAAGAUAGUCCACGUUAGAAUUUUAUAUCCUUUUGAAUAAUCAUUUAACACAAUGGUAAAAAAAAAAAACAGAAAAAAUAUAAUGAAUAGAAAAAAAUUAAUGUAUCAGAUUAAUAACACCCAACUAUAAUAAUGGAUAUAAUUGAUAAUAAUUAGUAUAAUUACAUUAUACUAAUUAUUAUUCAUGCUCUAUCCAAAAUUUAUUGAGAGAAUAUUAAACACCAAGUAUUAUUUUAAGUUCUUUAUAUACUAAUAAAUUAUUCACAUCAAUCCUACAUGGAGAAGAGAGGUUCACCAAAGUAGAUCUGAUAGGCAGUCAAGAGUUACCUCCAUAGUAAGCCUUCUGUAAGAUAAAUGUGAGACAGGUCUUAAAUACAAACCAUCUGUUCCUGGUUACCUUUCUGAGUCUUUCCUUGAUGAAAGCUUGUUUACAGACGUUAUCUCUGAGAAAAGGUCCUUGAGUAUUGUUUCAGUGGAGGUAGAAACCUCUAUUUUUAAGGAGUUUUUAAUUUUGGUCACCUGUCCUUUUGUGUUCUCUCCCACAGAAAAAAAAAAAAAAAAGUCAAUUCCUGGUUGAGUCCAGUUGUGGAUAAAACCAAAUACUUCCUUUAAAAGGACUGGCACUAGCUGGUUGGCCCUCACAAGGAAAUGUGUACAAAACAUAGAGCUUUAUAGUUUGUUUCUCAGACAAAUCAUGCACACAUUUCUCCUAGCAUGUGAGUCACAUCAAGGAAUGAUUAAAGAGAAAGAGAAGGAUAUCAAAGUUAGAGGCCUUGACUUUUCACUUGUUAAGAAAUAAUAAUGGUUGGUUAACUAGCCAGAAGGCUGCAAUCAAGUAACAAAAUAGCUAAGGAAAGGUAGCUUAAAAAGAAAAGACUGUGCAGAUUCAAGCAUGGCCAGAGUCAUCUAAAUCUAGUUCUAUAUGUCUUGGAUGGAAGCUGGUCAUGCCCUGCAAUUGCCGUCUUGACCCAAAGCGCUCUGUGGCAGAAGCUCUUUCCAUCCAAAGACCAUUUGCCUCUAAAAAAUUCUUAAGAAUCCCUAAUUUUAAAUCUCCUAAAGGAAUGUCAGUUCUAUUGUCAGUGGGUUAAACUGCAUGUCUUUUUCAGCUAGGACACAUGAAAAACCUAGGUUUUUAGUUUUUCAAGUUUAACUGCUUUGUCAGUGGUAAAAAUUACCCAAGAGUUUCCAUUGCGAGUCCUAGACCUUUUUUUUUUCCCCCUUUAAGUGUCUUUUCCAUAUGACAGAGUCUCUGUUUCUUAGGUCAUAAAGAGGCCACCUCUGAGAAGAUGGAGGAAAUGCAACUCGUAACUGUUGGUGAUAAGAUUGGUUAUAGUGCAGGAAUCCCCUGACAGUGUUUUGCCACAUCAGCUCAAAGCGAGGUAGAGCCCCAAAUUGGCGGAAGAAUAUGCAGCCUUAAAGGGAGAUCUGGAACAUGAUUUUUGUGGGUUUUGUUUGUUUUUUCUUCUUAUAGUCACAUUUGUGGCACAUGGAAGUGCCAGGGCUAGGGGAUGAAUCGGAGCUGCAGCUGCAGGCCAAUACCACAGCCCAACAAUGUAGGAUCCAAGCUGCAUCCUAUACCACAGAUCACAGCAAUGCUAGAUCAUUAACCCUCUGAGUGAGGCCAGGGAUUACACCCACAUCCUCAUGAAGUCUCUGUCAGGUCCUUAACCAAGACAAUACAGUUUCUGAGUAAAGAGCAAGGAUUUGCAAAGUUCUAUAGUAAUUAUUCCAGUACAGUGAGUGCAUCUAUUAGUGGAAAAACAAGUUAGAUUUUCCAGAUUGGAAACAUAAAGUCAGGCAACUUUUUUGCUACCAUCACAACCAUGCCUUUCCAGCAAA